RNAcentral lists this ribosomal RNA (468 nucleotides) under uncultured bacterium. Its description in RNAcentral is "partial 16S ribosomal RNA". It matches the Rfam family "Bacterial small subunit ribosomal RNA", at positions 28 to 507 of the family's 1533-position model. The record is from RNAcentral.
GACGAACGCUGGCGGCGUGCUUAACACAUGCAAGUCGAACGGAAAGGCCCUGCUUUUGUGGGUUGCUCGAGUGGCGAACGGGUGAGUAACACGUGAGUAACCUGCCCUUGACUUUGGGAUAACUUCAGGAAACUGGGGCUAAUACCGGAUAGGAGCUCCUGCUGCAUGGUGGGGGUUGGAAAGUUUCGGCGGUUGGGGAUGGACUCGCGGCUUAUCAGCUUGUUGGUGGGGUAGUGGCUUACCAAGGCUUUGACGGGUAGCCGGCCUGAGAGGGUGACCGGCCACAUUGGGACUGAGAUACGGCGCAGAAUGCUACGGGAGGCAGCAGUGGGGAAUAUGGCACAAUGGGCGGGAGCCUGAGGCAGCAACGCCGCGUGCGGGAUGACGGCCUUCGGGGUGUAAACCGAUUUCGCCGGUGACGAAGCGUGAGUGACGGUAAUGGGUAAAGAAGCACCGGCUAACUACGUG